RNAcentral lists this ribosomal RNA (436 nucleotides) under Acanthamoeba genotype T4. RNAcentral's name for it is "SSU rRNA". The stretch from base 1 to 369 matches the Rfam family "Eukaryotic small subunit ribosomal RNA", at positions 771 to 1116 of the family's 1831-position model. The record is from RNAcentral. Lineage: Eukaryota; Discosea; Longamoebia; Acanthamoebidae.
AAGUCUCAAGCAGGCAGAUCCAAUUUUCUGCCACCGAAUACAUUAGCAUGGGAUAAUGGAAUAGGCACCCUGUCCUCCUAUUUUCAGUUGGUUUUGGCAGCGCGAGGACUAGGGUAAUGAUUAAUAGGGAUAGUUGGGGGCAUUAAUAUUUAAUUGUCAGAGGUGAAAUUCUUGGAUUUAUGAAAGAUUAACUUCUGCGAAAGCAUCUGCCAAGGAUGUUUUCAUUAAUCAAGAACGAAAGUUAGGGGAUCGAAGACGAUCAGAUACCGUCGUAGUCUUAACCAUAAACGAUGCCGACCAGCGAUUAGGAGACGUUGAAUACAAAACACCACCAUCGGUUGCGCGGUCAUCCUUGGCGUCUCGGUUUCGGCCGGGGCGCGGGGAUGGCUUAUCCCGGUGGCACCGGUGAAUGACUCCCCUAAAGCUUGUGAGAAAA